ACGGGUGAGUAAUAUAUCGGAACGUACCCUAGAGUGGGGGAUAACGCAGCGAAAGUUGCGCUAAUACCGCAUACGAUCUACGGAUGAAAGUGGGGGAUCGCAAGACCUCAUGCUCAUGGAGCGGCCGAUAUCUGAUUAGCUAGUUGGUAGGGUAAAAGCCUACCAAGGCUUCGAUCAGUAGCUGGUCUGAGAGGACGACCAGCCACACUGGAACUGAGACACGGUCCAGACUCCUACGGGAGGCAGCAGUGGGGAAUUUUGGACAAUGGGCGCAAGCCUGAUCCAGCAAUGCCGCGUGAGUGAAGAAGGCCUUCGGGUUGUAAAGCUCUUUUGUCAGGGAAGAAACGGUGGACUCUAAUACAGAUCACUAAUGACGGUACCUGAAGAAUAAGCACCGGCUAACUACGUGCCAGCAGCCGCGGUAAUACGUAGGGUGCAAGCGUUAAUCGGAAUUACUGGGCGUAAAGCGUGCGCAGGCGGUUGUGCAAGACAGAUGUGAAAUCCCCGGGCUCAACCUGGGAAUUGCAUUUGUGACUGCACGGCUAGAGUGUGUCAGAGGGGGGUAGAAUUCCACGUGUAGCA
Molecule: ribosomal RNA, 582 nt
Filed under: uncultured Herminiimonas sp.
Lineage: Bacteria; Pseudomonadati; Pseudomonadota; Betaproteobacteria; Burkholderiales; Oxalobacteraceae
Description: bacterial SSU rRNA
Rfam family: Bacterial small subunit ribosomal RNA
Source: RNAcentral